Pogoniulus pusillus (Red-fronted tinkerbird) is the source of this 642-nucleotide long non-coding RNA. RefSeq lists it as uncharacterized. The record is from RefSeq and is a predicted model, not a curated record. The transcript is spliced from 4 exons. Lineage: Eukaryota; Metazoa; Chordata; Aves; Piciformes; Lybiidae.
CCUGGAAUAAAACUGAGACCGCGACUGGGCGGCUCGCGUGUCCGUGCCCUGCGUGGGAUGGGUGUGUUGGGAGGGCGAGCCCCGGCCGCGGCCGAGGAGAGAGGGUGGAAGUGCCGGCGGGGGGGUGCCGCGGCAGUGCCUGCGGUGUCCCCGCUCCCCGCCACCUCACCUCGCUCGAUGUUGGCGAUGGCCCGUCGCAGGUGCUCCUCUGUCACCAGCUCUCCGACGACCACCAGCAGGAGAGGACAAGGUGGUGUUCAGAGCAGGAGCACCCCAUUUCCUCUGCACUUUGCAGUGGGGAUUGGUUCAGAACACUAGAUUAGAAGCAUAAAACAUUAACUAUGGAUUCUUCUGCAGAAACUUGCUGCUCAUGGCUGGAACAAGUACACUCUUUGCUGGAUAAAAAAAAAAUGGUUGGAUGGAGAAGCCCAAGGAAUUGUGAGGAACACACAGGAUAGAAGAUAUCAUCUCAAGGGAGUAAAUGGACAAACACUAUGAUUGCAGAUGUGUUACCAUAUUCAGCAGAGCAUUUGAUAAGCUUAAUGUUUUAUGAACUUAAAACAAGUGUGUGAACUGCGUUCAGAAUACAUCCUGUCCUCUUACCACAGGUCAAGAGAUUUUGAAAAAUAUUAUGAAAUUUUA